GACCGAUCCUCGUCUGUGGACAGAGGAGUAGCUGACUCUGAAGCCCAGGCUGUUGCUAUCCAGUCUGGUGGUGAAUCCUCCACAGUCUGUUUAGAGCAAUUGGACGAAGUAUAUUUUUGUGAGCAAAUUUACCUUUCUCUCUGAAUUCUCCAAAAUUCAGAAACCAACAUUCUACUUCAAAACAGAAGAGUAUGCAUUGUUUCCAGAUGCAAAUGGAAUAUUCAUUAAGAUGUCUGUAUGAUUUAAUUAGUUUAAAAGGAAUAAAAUCAUCUGGCUUUGUUAUUCCUAUGGAAUAUAAUCAGAAAUAAGAAAAAUAGACAUCUAUAAAAUUCCUAACAUUGGAAACUUGAAACCACAUUUUUAGGAGUGACUUCCACUUUUGGGAAGAUGGAGUAGAAAUACUUUUUCCUAUUCCUCUCACUAAUCAUAGCUAAAACCUUGUACAUUAUACAUAAAAUAAAUGUAAAAAGACCCUAUAUAGGUGUAAAGAAGACAGUAGACCAGUGAGGGACCUCAGGAACAAAAAACAACACAAUGAUAGUUUCUUCGG
This 550-nucleotide long non-coding RNA is filed under the name Homo sapiens (human). RNAcentral describes it as "HSALNT0376004". Lineage: Eukaryota; Metazoa; Chordata; Mammalia; Primates; Hominidae. The record is from RNAcentral.